CCUACGGGUGGCUGCAGUCGAGAAUCUUCGGCAAUGGGCGAAAGCCUGACCGAGCGACGCCGCGUGAGGGAAGAAGGCCUUCGGGUUGUAAACCUCUUUCGUAGAGGAGGAAGGGGCCGUGCAGAGCGGUCUUUGACCUAUUCUAGGAAGAAGCUUGGGCUAAGUUCGUGCCAGCAGCCGCGGUAAGACGAACCAAGCGAACGUUAUUCGGAAUUACUGGGCUUAAAGCGCGUGUAGGCGGAUGACCACGUCAGUCGUUGAAAUCCCCCGGCUCA
RNAcentral lists this ribosomal RNA (275 nucleotides) under uncultured bacterium. RNAcentral describes it as "partial 16S ribosomal RNA". It matches the Rfam family "Bacterial small subunit ribosomal RNA", at positions 338 to 611 of the family's 1533-position model. The record is from RNAcentral.